CUUAGUUCGUGGAGUGAUCUGUCUGCUUAAUUGCGUUUCAAAAUUUAAACCUGAGCGACAAGGUGCUGCUAUCGAAACUGUCUUUGAGUGUGAACUAUAAGUCUUUUGACUUAUGACCAUCACUCUAGACGUUUAUGUUUUGGUGUUGGCCCUUGAUGCUCAUUUGAACGCAACGGACGUGAUUGCAACCCCUUGUUGAGAUUUAUCCGAUCUCUACGUUCACUGAACCACACUCUUUAGCGAGAGCAGUGGGGAUGUGGAUAAACUCGGGGGACUGCUGACUAUAAACUUUUCUCAAACCAGAGGAAGGUUGCGGCAAUAACAGGUCUGUGAUGCCCUCAGAUGUUCCGGGCUGCACACGUGCUACAUUUAGUAGCGCAGUGUGCACAUUAAUAGAGUGAUAGGUUCCGUGGUUUGUACAUUUUAAGGGCUCGUCCUAGUAACCAAAGCUCCACGGGACAUAUCAACCUUCCCCUUACAGGGCGGGUAACCUCUUCGAAGUGCUGGCAUGAUUUCCCUAGUUUUGGCAUUUGAAUCCUUGUCGCAGCAGCCCUGAGACGUAGUGAACGCUGCAAAGUGAUUCCAGUCUUAGGUUUGCGACACAUGCAAUUCCUGGUUGACUCAUCGUGG
RNAcentral lists this ribosomal RNA (630 nucleotides) under Globigerinoides elongatus. RNAcentral describes it as "partial small subunit ribosomal RNA". The stretch from base 1 to 367 matches the Rfam family "Eukaryotic small subunit ribosomal RNA", at positions 1293 to 1501 of the family's 1831-position model. The record is from RNAcentral. Lineage: Eukaryota; Foraminifera; Rotaliida; Globigerinidae.